GACGAACGCUGGCGGCGUGCUUAACACAUGCAAGUCGAACGCUGAAGCUUGGUGCUUGCACUGGGUGGAUGAGUGGCGAACGGGUGAGUAAUACGUGAGUAACCUGCCCUUGACUCUGGGAUAAGCCUGGGAAACUGGGUCUAAUACUGGAUACGACAUGUCACCGCAUGGUGGUGUGUGGAAAGGGUUUUACUGGUUUUGGAUGGGCUCACGGCCUAUCAGCUUGUUGGUGGGGUAAUGGCUCACCAAGGCGACGACGGGUAGCCGGCCUGAGAGGGUGACCGGACAAACGGGGACUGAGACACGGCCCAGACCCCUACGGGAGGCAGCAGGGGGGAAUAUUGCAAAAGGGGCGGAAGCCUGAGGAAGCGACGCCGGGGGAGGGAUGACGGCCUUGGGGUGGAAAACCUCUUUAAGAAGGGAAGAAGCGAAAGGGAGGGUACGUGCAGAAGAAGCGCCGGCUAAAUACGG
This 471-nucleotide ribosomal RNA is filed under the name uncultured bacterium. RNAcentral describes it as "partial 16S ribosomal RNA". It matches the Rfam family "Bacterial small subunit ribosomal RNA", at positions 28 to 506 of the family's 1533-position model. The record is from RNAcentral.